CGGCGAGUGAACAGGAAAAAGCUCAAAGUUGGAACCUGUUUGGCCUAGCUAAACCGGAUUGUAAACUGUAGAAGUGUUUUCCAGGCAAGCCGGACCGAUAAGUCCUUUGGAACAGGGCAUCAUAGAGGGUGAGAAUCCCGUCUUCGGUCUGAGCAUUUGCCUUUUGCGAUACACUUUCAAAGAGUCAGGUUGUUUGGGAAUGCAGCCUAAAUUGGGUGGUAAAUCUCACCUAAAGCUAAAUAUUGGCGAGAAACCGAUAGCGAACAAGUACCGUGAGGGAAAGAUGAAAAGAACUUUGAAAAGAGAGUUAAACAGUAUGUGAAAUUGUUAAAAGGGAACCGUUUGGAGCCAGACUGGCUUGUCUGUAAUCAGUCUAAGUUUCGGCUUGGAUGCACUUGCAGGCUAUGCCUGCCAACGACAAUUUGGCUUGAGGGAAAAAACUAGGGGAAAUGUGGCCCAUUCGUGGGUGUUAUAGUCCCUUAGAAAAUACCUUGGGCUGGAUUGAGGUACGCAGCGAAUGCUAUUUGGCGAGUUGGCUGGGAAUAUUUUCUGAGGUGCUCUGGUACUGAGGUUGAUAUUUCCAGUUACACUUCUAUUCGCUUAGGUUGUUGGCUUAAUGACUCUAAAUG
This 629-nucleotide ribosomal RNA is filed under the name Rhizopus microsporus. RNAcentral describes it as "LSU rRNA". It matches the Rfam family "Eukaryotic large subunit ribosomal RNA", at positions 87 to 646 of the family's 3401-position model. Lineage: Eukaryota; Fungi; Mucoromycota; Mucoromycetes; Mucorales; Rhizopodaceae. The record is from RNAcentral.